This 75-nucleotide transfer RNA is filed under the name Lentisphaerota bacterium. RNAcentral's name for it is "Lentisphaerae bacterium (anaerobic digester metagenome) tRNA-Cys". It matches the Rfam family "tRNA". Rfam says of the family: Transfer RNA (tRNA) molecules are approximately 80 nucleotides in length. Their secondary structure includes four short double-helical elements and three loops (D, anti-codon, and T loops). The record is from RNAcentral. Lineage: Bacteria; Pseudomonadati; Lentisphaerota.
GGCGCGGUAGCCAAGUGGUAAGGCGAAGGUCUGCAAAACCUUUAUUCACCGGUUCGAAUCCGGUCCGCGCCUCCA